GCGCUUGUAGCUCAGUGGAUAGAGCAUCUGUUUCCUAAGUAGAAAGUCAUAGGUUUGACCCCUAUCUGGCGCA
Transfer RNA from Ipomoea nil (Japanese morning glory), 73 nucleotides. It matches the Rfam family "tRNA". From Rfam's summary of the family: Transfer RNA (tRNA) molecules are approximately 80 nucleotides in length. The record is from Rfam. NCBI's taxonomy places the organism in Eukaryota, Viridiplantae, Streptophyta, Magnoliopsida, Solanales, Convolvulaceae.